GAUUCGCCAUGCAUGUCUAAGUACAUGCCGUAUUAAGGCGAAACCGCGAAUGGCUCAUUAAAUCAGUCAUGGUUCCUUGGAUCGUACCUUACUACUUGGAUAACUGUGGCAAUUCUAGAGCUAAUACAUGCAGCAGAGCUCCGACCUUCGGGGACGAGCGCUUUUAUUAGACCAAAACCAAUCGGACCUCGUGUCCGUCCUUUGUGGUGACUCUGUAUAACUUUGGGCUGAUCGCACGGGCCUGUCCCGGCGACGUAUCUUUCAAGUGUCUGCCUUAUCAACUUUCGAUGGUAGGUUACGCGCCUACCAUGGUCGUAACGGGUAACGGGGAAUCAGGGUUCGAUUCCGGAGAGGGAGCCUGAGAAACGGCUACCACAUCCAAGGAAGGCAGCAGGCGCGCAAAUUACCCACUCCCAGAACGGGGAGGUAGUGACGAAAAAUAACAAUACGGGACUCUUUUGAGACCCCGUAAUUGGAAUGAGUACACUCUAAAUCCUUUAACGAGGAUCCAUUGGAGGGUAAGUCUGGUGCCAGCAACCGCGGUAAUUCCAGCUCCAAUAGCGUAUAUUAAAGUUGUUGCGGUUAAAAAGCUCGUAGUUGGAUCUCAGUUCCAGACGGGUGGUCCGCCUACCGGUGGUUACUGCCUGUUCUGAACAGUCAGCCGGUUUCUCUUGAUGAUCUUCAUCGGUUGUCUUGGGUGACCGGCAAGUUUACUUUGAAAAAAUUAGAGUGCUCAAAGCAGGCGUGACGCCUGAAUAAUGGUGCAUGGAAUAAUGGAAUAGGACCUCGGUUCUAUUUUGUUGGUUUUCGGAACACGAGGUAAUGAUUAAGAGGGACAGACGGGGGCAUUCGUAUUGCGACGCUAGAGGUGAAAUUCUUGGACCGUCGCAAGACGAACUACUGCGAAAGCAUUUGCCAAGAAUGUUUCCAUUAAUCAAGAACGAAAGUUAGAGGUUCGAAGGCGAUCAGAUACCGCCCUAGUUCUAACCAUAAACGAUGCCAGCCAGCGAUCCGGCUGUGU
Molecule: ribosomal RNA, 1021 nt
Filed under: Pireneitega pyrenaea
Lineage: Eukaryota; Metazoa; Arthropoda; Arachnida; Araneae; Agelenidae
Description: SSU rRNA
Rfam family: Eukaryotic small subunit ribosomal RNA
Source: RNAcentral